GACUUUGAUUUGAAACGCAAGGACUAUGGGUGAGCACGCUUCUGAUUAGGUAGUUGGUGGGGUAACGGCCCACCAAGCCGACGAUCAGUAGGGGUUCUGAGAGGAAGGUCCCCCACAUUGGAACUGAGACACGGUCCAAACUCCUACGGGAGGCAGCAGUGAGGAAUAUUGGUCAAUGGGCGAGAGCCUGAACCAGCCAAGUCGCGUGAAGGAUGAAGGUUCUAUGGAUUGUAAACUUCUUUUGUCCGAGGGUAAAAAAGGCCACGUGUGGCUUCUUGCAAGUAUCGGACGAAUAAGCAUCGGCUAACUCCGUGCCAGCAGCCGCGGUAAUACGGAGGAUGCGAGCGUUAUCCGGAUUUAUUGGGUUUAAAGGGUGCGUAGGUGGUUUGUUAAGUUUGUGGUGAAAGCGUGCGGCUCAACCGUACCAAGCCAUGAAAACUGGCGAACUUGAGUGCAAACGAGGUAGGCGGAAUGUGAUGUGUAGCGGUGAAAUGCUUAGAUAUGUCACAGAACCCCGAUUGCGAAGGCAGCCUACCAGCAUGCAACUGACACUGAGGCACGAAAGCGUGGGUAUCAAACA
This 580-nucleotide ribosomal RNA is filed under the name uncultured rumen bacterium. Its description in RNAcentral is "bacterial SSU rRNA". It matches the Rfam family "Bacterial small subunit ribosomal RNA", at positions 202 to 774 of the family's 1533-position model. The record is from RNAcentral.